AGCGAACGCUAGCGGCGGGCCUAACACAUGCAAGUCGAGCGCAUACCUUCGGGUAUGAGCGGCGGACGGGUGAGUAACACGUAGGUAACCUACCCUUUGGUGGGGAAUAACCCGGGGAAACUCGGGCUAAUGCCGCACGAGGUCUACGGAUCAAAGCCUUCGGGCGCCAGAGGAUGAGCCUGCGUUGCAUUACCUAGUUGGCGGGGUAACGGCCCACCAAGGGGACGAUGCAUAGCUGGUCUGAGAGGAUGAUCAGCCACACUGGGACUGAGACACGGCCCAGACUCCUACGGGAGGCAGCAGUGGGGAAUAUUGCGCAAUGGGGGGAAACCCUGACGCAGCUACGCCGCGUGGGUGAUGAAGGCCUUCGGGUUGUAAAGCCCUGUCGGGAGGGACGGAAUUCUGACGGUACCUCCCAAGAAAGCACCGGCUAACUCCGUGCCAGCAGCCGCGGUAAU
RNAcentral lists this ribosomal RNA (458 nucleotides) under uncultured bacterium. RNAcentral's name for it is "bacterial SSU rRNA". It matches the Rfam family "Bacterial small subunit ribosomal RNA", at positions 29 to 524 of the family's 1533-position model. The record is from RNAcentral.